Molecule: ribosomal RNA, 429 nt
Filed under: Actinomycetes bacterium
Lineage: Bacteria; Bacillati; Actinomycetota; Actinomycetes
Description: Actinobacteria bacterium partial 16S ribosomal RNA
Rfam family: Bacterial small subunit ribosomal RNA
Source: RNAcentral
UAGGGAAUCUUCCGCAAUGGGCGAAAGCCUGACGGAGCAACGCCGCGUGAGUGAUGAAGGUCUUCGGGUCGUAAAACUCUGUUAUUAGGGAAGAACAAAUGUGUAAGUAACUAUGCACGUCUUGACGGUACCUAAUCAGAAAGCCACGGCUAACUACGUGCCAGCAGCCGCGGUAAUACGUAGGUGGCAAGCGUUAUCCGGAAUUAUUGGGCGUAAAGCGCGCGUAGGCGGUUUUUUAAGUCUGAUGUGAAAGCCCACGGCUCAACCGUGGAGGGUCAUUGGAAACUGGAAAACUUGAGUGCAGAAGAGGAAAGUGGAAUUCCAUGUGUAGCGGUGAAAUGCGCAGAGAUAUGGAGGAACACCAGUGGCGAAGGCGACUUUCUGGUCUGUAACUGACGCUGAUGUGCGAAAGCGUGGGGAUCAAACAGG